CCUACAGGUGUUCUAGAACAUUGAUGUUUUGUAGAUGUGUACGGUUGGGCUUACAUUUUCUUUGCAGAUGCUUGCUUAAAAAGGAAAUUUUUCCAAUAGUUAAAUUACAAAGAAGGAGAAUUUGGGGUAGGCAAAGAACACCAGACAUGCAUACGUGCGUUUUGGGCUUUGUUGAGGCUCUAUAAUUAAAAAUUGGAAUAUGAAUUGAGGGCAGCUGUAGUCUGUCUAGGUUAAGACUACAUACAUAGGACAUUGUGUUUCCCAAGAGAACAAAUGACACUAGUUUAAUUUGGCUCUUGCAUAUACAAGCUACAUUUACGACCUUUGAUUACACCACAGUAGACUAUUAGCUAAAACGGACUGUUGGUUGUGUAGGACAGAUACCGAGUGGUGAACAAUUGUAAUUACACAAAUGCGACAAUAGUUUUGGAGUGAAUGAGUUUAUGAGAUAAAUUGACCCGGCACUCAAGGAGUCCAACAAAUAGCUUCACAUCCAAGAGGGAAUUAGGCGGCCAAAGGAG
Molecule: non-coding RNA, 521 nt
Organism: Pelobates cultripes (western spadefoot toad)
Lineage: Eukaryota; Metazoa; Chordata; Amphibia; Anura; Pelobatidae
Source: the annotation of a GenBank genome assembly